RNAcentral lists this ribosomal RNA (253 nucleotides) under uncultured bacterium. Its description in RNAcentral is "partial 16S ribosomal RNA". It matches the Rfam family "Bacterial small subunit ribosomal RNA", at positions 524 to 776 of the family's 1533-position model. The record is from RNAcentral.
GACGAACCGUGCGAACGUUGUUCGGAUUCACUGGGCUUAAAGGGCGCGUAGGCGGGCUUGAAAGUCAGGGGUGAAAUCCUCCAGCUUAACUGGAGAACAGCCUUUGAUACUGCGAGUCUGGAGGAAGGUAGGGGCAUGUGGAACUUCCGGUGGAGCGGUGAAAUGCGUAGAUAUCGGAAGGAACGCCGGUGGCGAAAGCGACGUGCUGGACCUUUUCUGACGCUGUGGCGCGAAAGCCAGGGGAGCAAACGGG